AUUGAACGCUGGCGGAAUGCUUUACACAUGCAAGUCGAGCGGCAGCGCGGGGGCAACCCUGGCGGCGAGCGGCGAACGGGUGAGUAACAUAUCGGAACGUACCCAGUCGUGGGGGAUAACUAUCCGAAAGGAUAGCUAAUACCGCAUACGUCCUGAGGGAGAAAGCGGGGGAUCGCAAGACCUCGCGCGAUUGGAGCGGCCGAUAUCGGAUUAGCUAGUUGGUGGGGUAAAGGCUCACCAAGGCGACGAUCCGUAGCGGGUCUGAGAGGACGACCCGCCACACUGGAACUGAGACACGGUCCAGACUCCUACGGGAGGCAGCAGUGGGGAAUUUUGGACAAUGGGGGCAACCCUGAUCCAGCCAUUCCGCGUGAGUGAAGAAGGCCUCGGUUG
This 393-nucleotide ribosomal RNA is filed under the name uncultured bacterium. RNAcentral describes it as "bacterial SSU rRNA". It matches the Rfam family "Bacterial small subunit ribosomal RNA", at positions 29 to 425 of the family's 1533-position model. The record is from RNAcentral.